UAACUAUCUCUCUCAGCAGGGGUGACUGGUGCUUCCUGAGUCUGCGGGGGCACUAGAUUGCUAACGGGGGGCCCAGUGGCUGAUCACCAACCAGGGGGAGGUCUCCCAGAGGCCAAGCACUGAGCCCAGAAUCACCACUGGCUUACCAGGGGAUGCAUGGCCAAACUCCCUACGCGUCACCAGUGCUCUCCAGCUGUAGAAGAAGUUGGGGAGACAUCCAAGCGGAGCCUUCAUUCUGCUGGACGAACCUGUAGACUUUAUGCAUUCUGGACAGCCGAAAGGAUCUAAGCUUCCCUUUAAAAUCU
Molecule: long non-coding RNA, 305 nt
Filed under: Crocodylus porosus (Australian saltwater crocodile)
Lineage: Eukaryota; Metazoa; Chordata; Crocodylia; Crocodylidae
Description: lncRNA (ENSCPRG00005001207.1)
Source: RNAcentral